GUCCCUGUAGUGCAAUGGGUAGCGCGUUGGACUUCUAAUACAAAGGUCGGGGGUUCGAAUCCCACCUGGGAUG
This 73-nucleotide transfer RNA is filed under the name Trichonephila clavata. It matches the Rfam family "tRNA". From Rfam's summary of the family: Transfer RNA (tRNA) molecules are approximately 80 nucleotides in length. Their secondary structure includes four short double-helical elements and three loops (D, anti-codon, and T loops). The record is from Rfam by way of RNAcentral. Lineage: Eukaryota; Metazoa; Arthropoda; Arachnida; Araneae; Nephilidae.